CCUACGGGUGGCAGCAGUGAGGAAUAUUGGUCAAUGGACGAGAGUCUGAACCAGCCAAGUAGCGUGAGGGAUGACUGCCCUAUGGGUUGUCAACUUCUUUUAUAUGGGAAUAAAAUGUUCCACGUGUGGGGUUUUGUAUGUACCAUGUGAAUAAGGAUCGGCUAACUCCGUGCCAGCAGCCGCCGUAAUACGGAGGAUUCGAGCGUUAUCCGGAUUUAUUGGGUUUAAAGGGACCGUAGGUGGAAUGUUAAGUCAGGUGGAAAAGUUUGCGGCUCAAACGUCAAAUUGCAGUUGAAACUGGCAGUCUUGAGUACAGGAGAGGUGCGCGGAAUGCGUGGUGUAGCGGUGAAAUGCUUAGAUAUCACGCAGAACUCCGAUUGCGAAGGCAGCGCACUGGACUGCAACUGACACUGAGGCUCGAAAGUGUGGGUAUCAAACAGGAUUAGAUAUCCUAGUAGUC
RNAcentral lists this ribosomal RNA (460 nucleotides) under uncultured bacterium. Its description in RNAcentral is "partial 16S ribosomal RNA". It matches the Rfam family "Bacterial small subunit ribosomal RNA", at positions 338 to 795 of the family's 1533-position model. The record is from RNAcentral.